This 438-nucleotide ribosomal RNA is filed under the name uncultured bacterium. RNAcentral's name for it is "partial 16S ribosomal RNA". It matches the Rfam family "Bacterial small subunit ribosomal RNA", at positions 339 to 795 of the family's 1533-position model. The record is from RNAcentral.
CUACGGGCGGCAGCAGUGAGGAAUAUUGCACAAUGGGGGGAACCCUGAUGCAGCAACGCCGCGUGGAGGAUGACGCAUUUCGGUGUGUAAACUCCUUUUAUAUGUCAAGAAAAUGACGGUAGCAUAUGAAUAAGCACCGGCUAACUCCGUGCCAGCAGCCGCGGUAAUACGGAGGGUGCAAGCGUUACUCGGAAUCACUGGGCGUAAAGGACGCGUAGGCGGGUUGGCAAGUCAGGUAUGAAAUCCUACAGCUUAACUGUAGAACUGCACUUGAAACUUCUAAUCUAGAGUAUGGGAGGGGAGAUGGAAUUAGUAGUGUAGGGGUAAAAUCCGUAGAUAUCCCUAGGAAUACCUAAAGCGAAGGCGAUCUCCUGGAACAUUACUGACGCUAAGGCGUGAAAGCGUGGGGAGCAAACAGGAUUAGAUACCCCCGUAGUC